UCCCGCCGAGCUGCAGAGGGCGCGAGGUGUGCGAGCUGGGGCGCGCGCGGCCGCCAUGCCUUCCGAGCUCUUCCACGGGCCUCCGUCCUUCCGGGGAACUCGGCUUCCUCCUGCGGGAGGCACGGCCCUCGCUCGCCUUCAAGCCCCUGGGUGACUGCGGAGCUCAGGAGGACACAGCCUUCUGUGGCGGGAAGGAAAGGCCGCGGCUCUGCUGUCUGCCUGCGCCUUGGAUCCCUUUUGUGCCCCUGCUCACGCUGUGCGCCUCGGUACAACAUCCCUAUGUUUUGAAGAUGUAUGAUCAUUGGAAGAAGUGUUUUCCAAAAAGUUGUCUUAAGGUGACUGAAAAAGCGACUUAGGACCACAACUGCAAGUAACAAGGAUGUAGGUAGCUGACGAUGAAUGUCCAAGUUCAUUAACCAUGCUGUUAAAACGUACUUCAUUAUAUCAUGUGCAGUACGUUUUAGAAGUAAAAAAAAUCAAGAAUUGGGUCAAGAA
Jaculus jaculus (lesser Egyptian jerboa) is the source of this 495-nucleotide long non-coding RNA. RefSeq lists it as uncharacterized. The record is from RefSeq and is a predicted model, not a curated record. The transcript is spliced from 4 exons. NCBI's taxonomy places the organism in Eukaryota, Metazoa, Chordata, Mammalia, Rodentia, Dipodidae.